This 532-nucleotide ribosomal RNA is filed under the name Exosphaeroma sp. RW05.106.1121. RNAcentral's name for it is "partial 16S ribosomal RNA". It matches the Rfam family "Bacterial large subunit ribosomal RNA", at positions 1796 to 2621 of the family's 2925-position model. The record is from RNAcentral. Lineage: Eukaryota; Metazoa; Arthropoda; Malacostraca; Isopoda; Sphaeromatidae.
UCGCCUGUUUUAUCAAAAACAUCGCUGAAAAUACUAUUUUCAGUACGAUCUGCCCAGUGAUUUAUUCAACGGCCGCAGUAUCCUGACUGUGCUAAGGUAGCAUAAUCAUUAGUUUUUUAAUUGAAAACUCGUAUGAAUGAUUCGACGAGAAAUUUCCUGUCUCUGGGGCAUUUAAAUUUACUUCGAAAGUCAAAAAGCUUUUUCAGUCCCAGAGGACGACAAGACCCUAUAAAACUUUACUUCUUUCUCUAUCCUUCUUUUUAGAAAUCUCCACCUUCGAAAAGAAGUUUUACUGGGGCGGUAAAUUUUAUCAACAAACUUCAUACAAACACACUGAGUGAACUUCACAAACACACUAAGUAAUCAAGACCAAGUUACUUUAGGGAUAACAGCGCAAUGUCUUUUCAGAGCCCUCAUCGGCAAAGACGUUUACGACCUCGAUGUUGAAUUGAAGAACCUACGUGAAGCAGCCCUCACGAAAGGAAGUCUGUUCGACUUUUAAUCCUUCACAUGAUCUGAGUUCCAAACCGGA